AUCUCUGCUGCCAUAACUAUCUUCAUUCGAUGAUUGCAUCGUUUAACUUCAGAUCCUCUCUCCGGUGAUCCAAACAUCAAAGUGCUCGAUUCUGAUCUACGGUUGUGAACUUGAUUCCUGAUAUCCUGCUCCCUGUGAUGCGAACACGAAAGUUCUCGAUUCUGAUUUAUGGUUGUGAACUUGAUCCCUAAUCAAGCUAGUUUGUUGAACUUGGAGGAUGUCGAGUGAUGAAGUUCUUCACCUGCCCACAUGGGGAAGA
Molecule: long non-coding RNA, 259 nt
Organism: Cynara cardunculus var. scolymus (artichoke)
Lineage: Eukaryota; Viridiplantae; Streptophyta; Magnoliopsida; Asterales; Asteraceae
Exons: 3
Source: RefSeq, a predicted model, not a curated record